GUGAAAGGUUGGAGUACUGGGAGUGGUGAUUAGCUAGGCUGUGACUUGAGCAAAUUAAGAUGGAAAAAGGAUGGAUGCAUGCUGAUAGGAGAUCGUUGAGUGGUUAGUUUUAUGUACUUCAUUGUAUAUUUCACCUUCGAUUACCUUAAUUCUUUAUUUUCAGGGUAUUCCGGAGCAAAAAAAUGACAAGACUUGUGGAUAUUUCAUUAUGCGUUACAUGAAAGAAAUUGUGGAGGACAAGAACUUGGAUUUUAGUGUUAAGUGGGGAACGAGGUCAAAUUUGGUUUACACAGACAAGGAUAUUAUUGAGAUCCGAGCGGAAUGGGCUAAGCAUGUUUUGAAGUUCCCAGAAAAUUAAGUAUCAGCCUAUAUAUCUGCUUUUGUUUCUGGUAGC
Rosa chinensis is the source of this 394-nucleotide long non-coding RNA. RefSeq lists it as uncharacterized. The transcript has 4 exons. NCBI's taxonomy places the organism in Eukaryota, Viridiplantae, Streptophyta, Magnoliopsida, Rosales, Rosaceae. The record is from RefSeq and is a predicted model, not a curated record.